This is a long non-coding RNA of Lontra canadensis (Northern American river otter), 433 nucleotides long. RefSeq lists it as uncharacterized. The record is from RefSeq and is a predicted model, not a curated record. The transcript has 3 exons. Lineage: Eukaryota; Metazoa; Chordata; Mammalia; Carnivora; Mustelidae.
AGUAAUAAUCAUUCAUUAUAAUAGAUCUCAGAAAAUAUAUAAAGGAGAUACACAACGAAAGGCAAAGAAACGAUCACAUGGAGAUGCUUGAACAUCCCAGAACUUCAAGUUGCCUCUGUGUCAAAGGCCAGGCAUGGAGCAAUGUGGAAAUCCACUGGCUGUGACCACUGGCUGGAGCCUUGUCCAAGAGGCCCUGCUUAGCUGAGAAGCCUUGGGUCACAUGACUUUGGCUGGUCAAACAGACUACCUAUUGAGGAAGAAGCCAUGGUGGUGGUGCACGUCAGAGGCCACUGACUUAUGAAGAAACCUCUUCCCUUGCCAUACGGCAAGAGAAGAAGCAUCAAUCAAUCAAUCAAUCCUUGCUGAGAUCAGAUAUAGCCACUUUCUUUCAAUACUACAGUUGUCAGAUUCAUAAAAUAAACAGUUUGCUUGA